UCCUAGCCCCGAUAGUAGUGGAAAUCCUUUUACUUUUUUCUUUAAAAAGUAAAAGAUUGAAACGGAUAGCGGGAUUAGCU
RNAcentral lists this small RNA (80 nucleotides) under Flavobacterium sp. 81. Its description in RNAcentral is "Flavo-1 RNA". It matches the Rfam family "Flavo-1 RNA". RNAcentral also lists the same sequence under 1 other name. The record is from RNAcentral. Lineage: Bacteria; Pseudomonadati; Bacteroidota; Flavobacteriia; Flavobacteriales; Flavobacteriaceae.